RNAcentral lists this ribosomal RNA (253 nucleotides) under uncultured bacterium. RNAcentral's name for it is "partial 16S ribosomal RNA". It matches the Rfam family "Bacterial small subunit ribosomal RNA", at positions 524 to 776 of the family's 1533-position model. The record is from RNAcentral.
GACAGAGGGUGCAAACGUUGCUCGGAAUCACUGGGCGUAAAGCGCACGUAGGCGGACUCUUAAGUCAGGGGUGAAAUCCUGGAGCUCAACUCCAGAACUGCCUUUGAUACUGGGAGUCUUGAGUCCGGAAGAGGUAAGUGGAACUGCGAGUGUAGAGGUGAAAUUCGUAGAUAUUCGCAAGAACACCAGUGGCGAAGGCGGCUCACUGGCCCGGUACUGACGCUGAGGUGCGAAAGCGUGGGGAGCAAACAGG